UGAAACCCAAGGAGCCAUACUUACGAGUUUGCAAAAAAGAAAUCGUAUUCUCUAGGUUCACAGAAACAUGGGGUUCAUGUGGAGUUCAUGUGUCAAUCGGACGGCAAUGUAAAAUUUCCUAAAAUCGCAUAUUCUGCCUAUGAAAAUAAUAAGUUCCAGCCCCUUAAUUUUGCAGGACUACUUUGUAUUCCCAGAGUUGUUUAGUUCAGAGUUAUUCACAUGCGGAAAAUUUGCAUACAAAGCACUCUCACUUAAAAAUAAAAUCAAUCAUCCAGUGUGAGUGAUUGAACGCUACCGUCGUCUGCAUGUCCGCCAUUUUAGCUGUGUGAACAUGAAAAAAAUUUGUGCUCUGUUGUUUUUGAAAUUUUCCCAUUGUUUUGUGCAUCUAUACUAGCAAGGCCAAGGAAACAAAGUCCUAAUUUUCGCCUCAUCGCCGUCUUUGUCUUCGCCGCCAUCGCCUCGUCGCUGUCUUUGCCUGUGCCAUCGCCUCGUCGCUGUCUUUGCCUGUGCCAUCGCCUCGUCGCUGUCUUUGCCUGCACCAUCGCCUCGUCGCUGUCUUUGCCUGCACCAUCGUCUUGUCGCUGUCUUUGCCUGCCUCGUCGUCGUCUUCGCGUUCACCUCAUCGCCGUCUUCGCCUUCACCUCAUCGCCGUCUUCGCCUUCACCUUCACUUUCGCCAUUGUUUCAUUGCUGCCUUCGCAUUCGCCGUCAUCUCAUCGCUGUCUUCAACUUCGCCAUCGGCUCAUCUCCGUCUUCGUUGCUGCCUAUAUCUUCGUCUGUGGCCUACAAGGAUGGAACAAUCGGAUCCAGGAAAAAACUCAUGGUGAUUGAACAACCUCGCUGAGGUGCUUCCCUGGUAUAGUUUUGUGCUGUAUUUUUUUAUGUUGUGUUGUAUAGUUAACCCGUUGGCUGCCACCCCGUUUGUGCCCCAUUUUUUUUGUAGCUUACAGGGACCGGCCGCGCUGUUCUGCCUCAUGGUCUACAGCCAUGGGGUGGAGCAGUCGCAAUGGCCUCGCCGCAAGGCGCUUUAGGCAAUGCACCAUUAGGGACUUCUCCUUGUCGAUGCGGUGGCGGAUUCCUGAGGGUGUGCAUUCCCUGUAACGGAUUCCGUCACCGUGUCAGCCCGGACUUGUCUUCGGACAAGUCCCACUUGGUCGGUGAUCCUUCAGACACGAUGCGUAGCUAAUGUAGUUUAAGCAACCUACGGGUUGCGUGGCCUGGCAGCCAACGGGUUAACUAAUUUGUUGUAUGUAUUUAUGUGUGUGUGUGUAUGUGUGUAUGUAUGUAUGUAUGUAUGUCUACUUGUAUUUAUGUAUUGUUAUAUGUAAAACAGUGGAGGAAUUGAUGGGUGGAGGAGGGACAAUAAAAAAUUCAAUUUAA
This is a long non-coding RNA of Daphnia magna, 1379 nucleotides long. RefSeq lists it as uncharacterized. Lineage: Eukaryota; Metazoa; Arthropoda; Branchiopoda; Diplostraca; Daphniidae. The transcript has 3 exons. The record is from RefSeq and is a predicted model, not a curated record.